Pristis pectinata (smalltooth sawfish) is the source of this 1422-nucleotide long non-coding RNA. RefSeq lists it as uncharacterized. The record is from RefSeq and is a predicted model, not a curated record. The transcript is spliced from 5 exons. NCBI's taxonomy places the organism in Eukaryota, Metazoa, Chordata, Chondrichthyes, Rhinopristiformes, Pristidae.
GGCCAUUUUGAUGUGUGAACUGGAGGGGGUGAGUUGUGCGAUGGGGGUGAGCUCGGAGGGGAGUGGGUUUAGUACUCAGCCAGGCCGAUAUCCCGCGCCACUUGCCCACGCUCAGGAGGGGUAGGUGUUGUCCUUUUGGCGAACAGCAGCAAUGAGAGCGCCGCAUCCCCCGCGUGGAGAGGCAAGGGGAGAGGCGUCCGCCGAUUGGGUGCGCCGCACUGCCGACGUGGUGGGCCUGUCACAUGGAGCUCGCUGAUAUCCCCGUGCAUUGCUGGUGGGAUCACUGCAGUGGGAUCUUGGAUGCCAAGGUGAUGACUUGAUUUCACCAAAAUGAACUAUCUGGGAACUUUGGAAUCAAGCUGUUUGGGAUACCACAACAGCAGCCUGACAUGGAGCUUGCUGAUGUGCCUGUGCAUUACUGGUGGGAUCACUGCAGUGGGUGUUUGGAUGCCAAGGUGAUGACUUGACCAAAAUGGUGUGCCAGUCAGUGGCUCAAUGAGAGCUGAAGCACUGGCCCUGGACUGUUCUUCCCAGUCUGGAUGAGAGGGGUUGACAACUAGAAUGUUUGGAAGCAAAUAGUUGAAUAUGGUAGUGUGAAAAAGGCUUUUGUCUGUGGUGGAGCUGUUCCCACAGGGAACCUGCAGGAAGUGGGCACCUGAGAUCAAAGGUGUGUAGUUAACUGUAGGAAAACUUUGUAGAUCAGACAGCAUGUGUAAAGCUGGACCAAUUCCCCCCACUGUCCUGUUGUUCUAACUGGUAAACCACUUGGAUCUCCUGGUGUGUACUGUGGGAGUUGAGAAGCUCACAGGUGCAGUGGGCAAUGAAAUGUUGCUACAAAUAUACAUUGUAUCUGCACACAACUACUCAUUCCCCUGCUGACUGUCUGCUCUAGUGGCUGCAAGCAAAGACAGAGUCCAGGGGGUUGGGAAACCUGAAAUGAUGUACAGAUGGUGAACAUGGUUUGCUUGCAGAUGGAACAUUAGGCCCAUUAGAACAAAUUUAUGUUUGCCAAUUCAACUCAGUUAUAGGCAGAUCCCAUCUGUGCUCUUGAGAUGGGGAUUCCAUGUGGGUUUAUCAGCUGGCCCUUGUCAGUGAAAUGCAGUUGAGUCAGAUUGUGGGACAUUGAGUAGCCUUGGUAGACACUUUACACAUACUCUGGAAGAACAGCUGUGGUGAAUGUGGCAGCCCUCACUGCCUUGUAAUUCUUCAGCCCCAGGAGAUGAGAUGACCUCGCAGUGUUUCUUGCUGAUGGGUACAGUUGUUAGCUAAUUCAGAUUGACAGGAAAGGGCAUAACUUGUUCGAGUGGAAGUUGUUCAGACAUUGGAAAUUGCUAAAUUAGCUCAAUUCAUCCACAAGUGUGAAUUAUGAAAGUCUUGUAUUAAGUAAUUACUUUCACUCAAUAAAAGUUCACUGCUCUUUUG